AACACGUUAAACCACAUCGGGAUCUUGGGUCGGGGGCAGCCCCAACCCUCGAUCCCAUCCCGCGGCGCGUGCGUCUCGACGUGCGCGGUGCGGCUAACGAAACCCCGGCGCGGCAUGCGCCAAGGAAAACUCAUAGAAGCACCCGCCUCCCGUCGCCCCGUUCGCGGUGCGCGGUGGGGGGAGUGGGUGUCUCUCCAAUGUCAUAACGACUCUCGGCAACAGAUAUCUUGGCUCUCGCAUCGAUGAAGAACGUAGCGAAAUGCGAUACUUGGUGUGAAUUGCAGAAUCCCGUGAACCAUCGAGUCUUUGAACGCAAGUUGCGCCCGAAGCCUUUCGGCCGAGGGCACGCCUGCCUGGGCGUCACGCAUCGCGUCGCCCCCCUCCCCAUCCGCUCUGAAACGGGCGAUCGGGUGUCGGGGGUGGAAAUUGGCCCCCCGUGCGCAGCGCCGCGCGGCCGGCCUAAAUGCGAACCCGUGGCGACUCACGUCACGACCAGUGGUGGUUGAAC
Molecule: ribosomal RNA, 508 nt
Filed under: Agalinis decemloba
Lineage: Eukaryota; Viridiplantae; Streptophyta; Magnoliopsida; Lamiales; Orobanchaceae
Description: eukaryotic LSU rRNA
Rfam family: 5.8S ribosomal RNA (bases 208-363)
Source: RNAcentral